This 563-nucleotide ribosomal RNA is filed under the name Bacillus subtilis. Its description in RNAcentral is "partial 23S ribosomal RNA". It matches the Rfam family "Bacterial large subunit ribosomal RNA", at positions 2367 to 2925 of the family's 2925-position model. The record is from RNAcentral. Lineage: Bacteria; Bacillati; Bacillota; Bacilli; Caryophanales; Bacillaceae.
GCUUGACUGCGAGACCUACAAGUCGAGCAGGGACGAAAGUCGGGCUUAGUGAUCCGGUGGUUCCGCAUGGAAGGGCCAUCGCUCAACGGAUAAAAGCUACCCCGGGGAUAACAGGCUUAUCUCCCCCAAGAGUCCACAUCGACGGGGAGGUUUGGCACCUCGAUGUCGGCUCAUCGCAUCCUGGGGCUGUAGUCGGUCCCAAGGGUUGGGCUGUUCGCCCAUUAAAGCGGUACGCGAGCUGGGUUCAGAACGUCGUGAGACAGUUCGGUCCCUAUCCGUCGCGGGCGCAGGAAAUUUGAGAGGAGCUGUCCUUAGUACGAGAGGACCGGGAUGGACGCACCGCUGGUGUACCAGUUGUUCUGCCAAGGGCAUCGCUGGGUAGCUAUGUGCGGACGGGAUAAGUGCUGAAAGCAUCUAAGCAUGAAGCCCCCCUCAAGAUGAGAUUUCCCAUUCCGCAAGGAAGUAAGAUCCCUGAAAGAUGAUCAGGUUGAUAGGUCUGAGGUGGAAGUGUGGCGACACAUGGAGCUGACAGAUACUAAUCGAUCGAGGACUUAACCACAUUU